This is a non-coding RNA of Equus caballus (horse), 14957 nucleotides long. Lineage: Eukaryota; Metazoa; Chordata; Mammalia; Perissodactyla; Equidae. The record is from RefSeq and is a predicted model, not a curated record.
CCGCUGGGAAGCCUCCGCCAACCAUUUCUGAAAAAUUAGUCCCUCUUACCAUAGCACUUACCUACUCCCCCGCUUCUAUUCUAUUCUCUUCACCCAGCCUUUCUAGAUAGCCAAGUAUGUGCCAGUGUCCUGGACUAAGGUUGGAGCAGGUCGUCAGGAAAAGCAGCAGAGGAGGAACACCAUUUCAGUAGGAUCCUGAACGAUGACUAGAGACUCACUCGGUGAAUGAGAAAGGGCAGGACACGCCCAGGACACGCCCGGGAGGAAGCAGCAAGAGGACAGGCUUGGAGAUGGCAAGUGCCUGGCAUCUUUGGGGAGGAGUGAGCAGUUCAGGAUAGCUGAGCUCUGGUGGAGGGCAGCUCCAGAGGAGACAGAAAAGGCAGGUGACGGCAGGUUCUGAAGGGCCAAGAGUUACUUAAUAGGCAACAGUAGUCAGAGGUUUGCAACCAGGAAGUGACACCAUCAGAUGAGGGUUUUAGAAAAAAAUAGCUCUGGGAGCAACCAGCAGGAUGAGAUGAAGGAAGAGGAGAGCUAUUGCAGCAUUUGCCCAAAUUAUACAGAAAUUAAGCUUUUAAUUUUUUUUUUGUAUUCUGUUUUGUUUGAUUUCUUGAUUUGGUAGAAUUCUCAAGAGCCAUGAUAGUGUUUCUGUGUACAUAAUAGUCACUCAACGUUUGUUAAAUGAAGCGAGUGAAUGAAUGAAUACAUAUAUCUCAUGGGGAAAUUUUUUAAUUUGAGAAAAAUCUAAUCCAGGAGUCAAGUUUCCUAAAACUGUGAUGUCAGGAUUAUGUUGAAAGAAUUUAUCUUGCCUCAUUGUGGAAUCAGGUGUUCCACAUAACUAGUUUUCCAAAUAGCUUAAGUGUUCAUGUCCUGACACCAAAAAAUCCAUCUUUUAAUUUCAAGGUAAUUCUUUGAAGACACGUUGCUUUUUUACUUCCUUAAGUUGAAGCCAUAGAACUUAAUUUUUUCUUGGAAGACACAAGCUCAUGGAUACCCACUGCAGCACAAGGAGGUGGCAUGGUAAAACAGAAUGACAUCAUGACGUAGGAGUCAGACAGACCAUGGGAAAAUUCUGGAACUGCCACUUACUAGCUGUGAUGGUUUUGUCAAUUUACAUCUCAGCUUGAAUUUGCUCAUCUAUAGAAUGGGAAUAUUGAUGCCUAAAUCAUGGAAUGAAGUUAGAUGAUUAUGGAAAAGCACCUGACACAUAGUAGGUGCUCCAGAGACUAUAUUUACCAAGAGAAAUGCAGUUAUGAAUUUUUCAGGUUUAUAUUUUCCCAAAAUAUCAGACUACCAGCUAUCAUUUCUGAUGUCAUUUGUCUGCAUCUAACAAAUCCUCCUUUUCUCAAUUCUCCUUCUAAUAAGCUAAUUCUAAUUUUCUUUAAUUAUUACCCGAUAAUAUAUGCCCCUUAAUAAGCAUAGAUAAAGCAACAAGUGUCUGAAUGAAGGAAGGCCUAGGAAGAUCACCGUUUGGGUGAAAAGGUUAUGUGAAAGCCAACAGGAGUGCUCAGAAGCCCAGCUUGUUUACUUCCCAAUCCCAAAUUGUGUCCUAAAUGUUAACAACACCAAGACUGUCUUCCUCCAAAUACCUAAGAUGUGAUUACGUAGAAAGUAGAAAAGACACAAAGCUAGACUAUUUGGAGUAAAUAUCUGUUGAUAAAGGUAUAAAGCAUUGAGGCCAAAAACAAAUUCACUAACAAUUUAAAAUGAAAACUAAAAUUUGAGGGAAAGAAAAAUGAUAUGAGAAACUAGAAGGAAGAACAAAUCCCCGUAGACUAUGAUAAAAUACUUCAGUCACUGCAUAGGUAAAGGAAAAAUCAAGUUUAUUGGAAGUAAUUUAGUGACUACUUAUGGAAUUACAAUAAAGGUCACAAAAAUCCCAGAAUUUGUAAGGCAAAUGUAAAUAUAAAUAUAAAUCAAUUACUGGCUUAUUAUUUCAUUAAAUUGAAGAUGGAAAGGACCAAUUCUUGAGUCACAGUGUUUGCCUCCUGGGGUCCUAAAUAGCUUUCUCUGUCAAAUUAAAAUAAAAAAGAUAAAUAAACAUGAGAAAUUAAGAAUGUCGAAGUGUAUGAAGGGAAAAGGAAAGAAGGGGGAAAAUAAUGUUUCACAAUUAUUAUCCAGGCUAAGAGAAACAAAAUUACUUGAUCAUAAAUUCAAGAUAAUCUGGUUUUCUUUAUGAGUUCCCAUUUUAUUAAUGAAAGGAAGGUAACACCUUAUUGUACCCGGGUGAAUUAAAAUGCCUAUUUGAAGAAGCAAUCCUCCAUAGGGGUCUUUAAUAGAAUCUGUGAAUGGUUCUAGAGCCAGAUAAUUUAGCUGUAAAAAGGCAAUAUUAAUAUUAACCUCUCCAUGUGCACAGACCUACCUUGAGGGGCAUAGGGACAGUGAAAUGUUAACAGAAUGAACCAGACACAUCAUUUCUUUUCUUAAAAAAUCUGAACUAUUUCAGGGGCAAAAAUUGGAUAAACCUCUUCUACAAAAUUGCUUGCAACGUGCACUGUUAAUUCUUUAUGCCUCUUGCUUCUAACAACACUGGCCAGCAAUUCAGCACUCUCAGUGCUGCUCAUAUUAUUUUCUGACUUUGUAUUCAGAGCAUAUGACUUGCAAGAAGUCUAAUAGCCAAGCAUUUAAUUGAAAUAAACGGAAUAGAAAACGAACUUCCAAAUGCAGAACAGUCUCAACAGGAGCCAUGACAACACAUUUCCAAAUUAGAGGCAGGCGCUCAGUAGGGUCCCUGAAGUCUAUGACUUAAUACAAUAAAAACAGGUAAUUCGAAGAAAGAGGCAAAUGUACUUUAAUUGAGCAACUGGUCAGUUGGUGAGAAAUAUAGACAUAACAAAUGGCUCAUCUCUUUGUCCCAGACAUGCAGUUAGUUUUUAAUGGAAAUCCCAAUAUAUUGCACUCUCGCUCUUUAUAACUCCCAUCACCAAUACCAUAUCUGCCCUCAUCACCACCUUCCAGACUACUGCAAACCUCCUAGCAUCGCUGUACCCAAACUCUUUCAAUGCAUCCUAGGUAGCCCAGUAGGAUUUUUCUUCCUGGUGCCCCACGUUGUCUGUGGCACACCCCCAGUCAAACACCUUCAACUGCCCACCAUUAGUUACUGAACUCCUAGUUGAACUUCUGUUAGCUGCCAUAAAUGACCUUUCACCAUAAGGACUCAAUCUACAUUUCCAGCCUUCUAACUCAUUAAUCCUGAAAGAUGGAUUUCUCUAAAUUCUAUGAUUUGCUAUUACCCAAUGUCUCCAUGCCCUUCAUACUCCAGUUACAUUUUCCCAACAUCUAGAUUUUCUCUUUUAUCCCCAUCUCCACAUAUUAAAAUCCUAUUAGUUCUUCAAGUCCUAAUUCAAAUGCCACACUUCCAUGAUGCUUCCCCCUAAUUAUUCCACAAAGAAGUAGGCUUUCCUAACCCUCAUAGGUUUUUUCGAUACUUAUCAACUUUCACUUCAUACUACAAUUACUUAUAAAUAUAUAUUAUUUCCUUCCCUCCCACUCCACUAAGACAAGGUCUUAGAAGAAGCGGUUUAGCUUAGUUGGUAAAGAACAGGCUUUUCAAUCCAACAAAGCAAAGUGUGAUACCAAGCUCCUUUACCAUCUAGCUAUACAAACUUAAGCAAGAAAUCAGCUUUCUUAAACUGUUUGCUCAACUGGAAAAUGCUUGAUAAUUAUGCCUGCCUUAAUUCAUGCUAUAAGGAUGAAUAACAUUGUAUGUAGUGAUAGCACAAUGCCAGGCAUAUACUAAUUUCUCAAUAAAUGAUAGCUAUCAUUACUAUGAAAGUGGACAGUACUUAUUAUCAAUCUUUGUGUUUGACAGAGCACAUAAUAAUUAGCAUACCUUGCAUAUACUAGGUAUUCAACAAAUGUGUAUUGAAUGAAAGAAUUAAUGAAUGAGAAUGCGGGGGAGGAAGGAAUUUUUCUCUACCUUUUCUAGGUUCUUCUGGCUGAUCUAAGAACUAAAUUGACAUGAGACAGAUUAAUAGGAGAAAAUCAAAUUUAAUUGCAUAGGUAGAGGAACCCCACAUUCAUGAGAGGGUCAGAGACCCCAUAUACGUGAGAGGUUCAUAGACAGAAAGGUAAAAUGAAGUAUAUAUGCCAUCUUGAGCUAAGGAAUGGGAUAGGGGCCUGAGGCUUCAGACGGGAGGAGAGUAAUUCAUGUGACGAUAAGAAGAGCAGAUGCUCACUAAUUAGAGGUUUGCCCUGCCAUACAGAUAGGUCAUAAAAAGUUAUUUCUUAUAAUAACUCUUAUUAUGGGCAAGACUCCCAAUUUAUAUUCUUUAAGAGAGAGGUAAAAGUUUUUCUGGAACCUGCAGGGUCUUGAUUGCCUUUAGCUCAAAAUAUUCCACAUGCCAAAGUGGCACAUCUUGGGGAGGACUGUUCUGAGCCCCUUCAAGUGAAAGACUCAAAGAUUGUUUCUGAUCCCACUGAAUGCUCUCAAAAGUUAGCAGAUGGUGAGAAGCCUGACUAGAGGUGCAAUGUGGUCACCACAUUCCUUUCCUUUGAAAACACCAUUACUACGACCAUCGUUAACCUUGGGGAACUAGAAGAGAAAUGAGAAACUACAAAAUCCAAUCCAAUGGAGUAAAGUUGAGGUCCUGAAUAAUCCAGAAGAACAAUCCAUCCCAAAACAUUUAAAUUUGAUGUUGCAAUGUGGUUUUGAUAUUUGUAUUUAAUUUGGGAAUAAUUUAUUAUUUUAGAAUUCACAAGCCAUCUAAUUUAAUUGUUACAAAUGACUCUCUGCUUACAACUAUUUCCUCUUCCUUUCUCCCCAAGAGAAAUAGCAUUCUCCCCCUAUAAAUGGAAGCAAGCCACCUGCUUAUUAGGAGUUAUUUUUGGCUGUGGAUAUUAUACUUGGAUGUAUAUAUUUUACAACUUCUCAAUAUUGAAGGGAAGGUAAUUGUAGCAGAUUGCAUUUUCCAGAAGUGACCACAGCAAUUUGAAGUCUUACAUUCUCUUUCAGAAUCUUCUCACUCCCCAUGAAAAGGUGGAGUCUAUUUCCCCUUCCCUUGAACUUGUUAGGCUUAUCACUGCUCACAUGAAUAGAGUGGAUGGACGUGAUGGUACAUGAGUGCCCAACUCAAAACGAUACAGCUUAGCUUCUGCCCAGGUCUCUCUCAACAUGUUAUGAGCAAGCCCAGAGCACAUGGAGAGGUCACAUGGAGGUCUUCUGGUCAAUAGCCACAGAUGAGUUUCAGCCUACAGUGAGCAUCAACUGCCAGAAAUCUAAGUGAGCAAACUUCCAAUGAUUCUCAGCUCCCAGCUUUCAAGUCUUCCAGCUACGGCCGCAGACAUUGUGGAUGGAGACAAGCUGUCCCCACCAUGACCAGAUUGAAUUUCUGACCCACGGAAUCAAUAAGCCUAAUAAAUAAUUGUUUUAUGCCAGUGAAUUUGGGAUGAUUUGUUAUGCAGCCAUAGUAACCGGAAUGAUAAUUAGGUAUCUUGUUGUUUUUUAAGUGUCCAGCUGGAUUGUAGGUUUCAUGAGUAGGGGAAAAAUGAAAAGAAACAACAGAUGACUUUGCACAAGUUAUUUUAAACCCUUAGCAUGAUUGAUUCGCAUAUCAAAAAUGUGGCAGGUCCAUCCUGGGAUAAUUAAAAGUUAGAAUUUUUAAUAGUAACAACUGGAGACAGGAAUGAGGUUUUGCUCUACUAUUUACCAGGAAGCGAGAAAGAGACAAAUGGACAACAGUAACCAAUCCAGUUAACUAGCAACAUGCAGAGUUAAUCCACUAUCUGGAAUAAUUUAGCAACUGUCUGAAAAAGUCUGUUUUUGCCUAUCUGAGAGUUUUGAAAUAAAGCUACAUAACUAUUAGGGCUUUUCCCACUUUUCUUGUUUCAUUGUCUAGCAUGAAGCCUCAUUUUAUUAUUGCACAUGAGAAAUCUUGACUCUUAGCUAAAAUCUGAGAAUAAUAGUGGUACAUGCCCAUUAUAAAAACUGCAUACACAUCUGGAAGGAACAUUAAUGUCUUGUCUUUUCCUAGUUUCUAUUUUUUGGUCCAUAAAAUAUUAUACCCAUUACAUGGAUCAGACAAGUGACGGCCAGGGGAAUUCAGUAUCUUACCAGUUUAUACAGCUACUAGGAGCAGAAAACCAAAAUUCAAGCCCACUUUCUUUUAUUCCAAGUUCUUUCUCUAAUGAUCCUACCUCUCAAUAGAAGAAUGAAUGAUAGUUAUACUAUAUAAACAAGAAUUUCAACUUUCUUACUUUCUAAUAAAAAACCAAAUAAAAUUGGUCAAUAUGAACCAUUUCCUCUUUUCAAGGUAUAUGGACUGUUACUUCCAUCCCACAAAUUUGCAGCCAGGAAGGCAAAGGGAGGCUGCUGUGGCUUUACAAAAAGGCUGAGAGACGUUAACCCUCCCAGCUUCCCAUUCCCAGAGGAAAACCGAGGGAGGAGGUACCAUCUCUAUACAGUUUGUAGGAUUGUUUUUUUUUUUUUUGGUUUUGCUUUUUGCUUUUUUCCAUCUCUCUACCUGUAUCAGUCUUGUCGGUCUACCUUGUUGCCUUGAUUAGUUAAACCAGAAUCUUCUAUUUAGGCUCUGAUAUAUCUAAUACUUCAUCUGGUUUCUUGCAUUCAAAAAAGAAAGAAGAGAAGAGAAAAGAAAGUCAUCUGUAGCGUCUUGUUUUCCCAAGUCUUCAUGAAAUUCAUUAAGCCCCACUGACGCUUUCAUUUACUUUUAGACAAUAUUUCUCCUUGCCUGGGAAGGGAAAUACUUGCUGGCUUACUACAGGUUGAAUAUAUACAUAAAACCUGUAAAUCACAAAGGGUCUAAAUGCUUUCUACAGUUUUUCAACGCUCUAGACUUGAAUAGAAAGAAAGCUUUAAUGGAAAGAGGAAAAAGAAACCACCAUUUCAAGUAAAUUAAAAGCAACCUCCAGGCAAAGGACUAUACCUGGAAAAUAACUUUCCUUCUAGUAUGAAAUUUAGAAUAGAGGAACAGAAGGAGCCCAUUUCUAAAAGCAGCAGCUUCCAAUCCAUUCAUUUACCACUCACUAAAAUUCAAAAGUCAGUUCAUUGUCGAAUCUAGUCAUUACGCCAUAAUAUCGGGCUCUAACAAAUUGAGAUUUCUUUUAUAUAUUUGUUCUCUAUGCUGGAUAAAAAUAGCAGUAGGUGAAAAAGCCAUUCAGAAACUUAGAAGUAGACAGAAUUGCUCAGGAACAUAAGCUUAGAUUCUGAUGAUGCAAAUGUAUUUCAAGAAACUUCAUUUCCGCGCAAGACCUAUUUAACAAUUCCUUAACAAUUGAGCAAUUACUGAAGUCCCGAUACUCUUUGGAUGCUCACCAAGUGAGUGAAAGUUGAUUAAGCUGAAAUUUGUGGCAGGUCUCCUGGUAUGAAGAGAAGAGGGCCUGAUGCCCUUGUUAAUUAGACAAUCCUCUGUGGAAUGGAACAAUAUGGUGCCAAAGCUGUGCACUAAGUUCAUGACUCUAUCAUUAACCCGCUGCACGCUCCUCGGCCCUACAUAAUACACAGGGAGGCUGAACCAGAGCUCUCUGCUCCUGAAUCCCCCUCACCUUGCCGUCCAGCCUGAAGGUCCAUUUCAAAACCUCAAAAGCCCACAAGGCUCUUUUGGGGCCGUGGGUGGGGUCUUGGGCAGGGUUGGAGCUAACCACUAACCAUACAGCUGUGGUCUCUAAAUGGCUCACCCUGCAACAGCCUCACGCAGAUUUUGGCAGGAACAUAUUCACAAUUCCCCACUGUGUGUGCAAAGCACACUGAAGCAGUAGGAGACAUUCUUCCUGCUUCUUUAGACAAGGUCAAAGUAGCUUGAAAAUGCUCAGAUGGGAGUUUGGAAUGUGUCGUGAAAACCUUUUCUUACUAGUCAGAUAACCUGUCAGUGACAAUAACAACACACACAUUGUUUGCCAGCUGAUUAAGUCACUUCCUGGAAGGCAUUGACCAGAUUUUCUUUUCCUCUUAACCAAAUAAAUGAGUGAAGUGGUUUAAACACAUUUGACCAGCAAAUAAUAAGAUUGUGCAAUACUUUUGGUUAAAGUAUUCCACUCUCUAAAUUUAGCAGCUUUGCUUUUAUUCUCAGAGGAAAGAGACAUUUGAGGGGAGGAGGGGAGCCUCCAAGGAGAUACUUUAAGAAAAAAAAUUCCUGAGUAAAUUUUCCCUGAAGUCUUGGGCUAAAAGAAUCUUCCUGUGGGAGAAAGGAUCCAAUGGAGGGGUUCCCCUGAUCACAGCUUCCCAUUAUGAUCACAGGGACUCGGGCACAAAGUUCUCCAAGGGAGGCCUCCACUUACUGCUGGGGGGAGAGGGCAACAGAAAGUGUGCAGACUUUUGCUUCUCUAAGGAGGGGAACACAUAUUGGACUUCUUUGGGUGGCAAGAUAGUUUUAUUAUGAAAAUGACCUUUCCAUAAAGCUGUUGGAGUGAAUUAAUAUCAACUCAGUCAAAAAUAACAUGAGAUUUACUCAAUACUGCUUUGCUAAUAACGCUAGCGAUAAUAGCAGUAGUAUCAUUCUCAGUAUCCAGAUGAGGAACUGAGGAAGUAAAAGAUCAUUGCCUUACGAGAGUUACACAGCUCAGCGGCUGGUAUAGAAACCUAUUACCCUUGGUUCCUGACUCAGUCUUCUCUCAUAGAUAAUUUGGCAUAUUGUCUAUUUCCAGACACUUCUCUGUCUUUGUUUUUUAAUAACACCUCCAGCAAUCAGAAAAGAGACUCACUGUAAUGUUAGCAAGGUCAUCAAAACUCGGUAGGAGAAAGGGUUGAAGUAAACAGUAAAGCAGUGGUCAGUAGAUUCUGUCUGAAUCCCGUUUAUCUGCAUCCCUGAUUAGCAUAUACUAUAGAGAAUUGUGGGCGGUUGGCUGUACUAGUUCUUCAUUGAUUUGAUCUAAUUUGACUAACAAAGAUUGCGUGUUCCAAGGGUCUGAUAGCUCAAUAAAAUAGGAAUAUAUCAUCCACCUUAUCUCAUUCUAUUUUUGAUAAGCAAUUCAGGUAUUAAAAAUAAAAAAGCAGCAAGCCCCCAGCUGGAGAUUAUGAGUGAACAUUAUUCAUGUGGAAGCCAAGAGAAAUACAAAAACAAAAACCACAAAGAUUUCAUCUCUGUUUGUUCUGCGCAUGGACCUAGGUGACAGAGGGCAAGUUGUCCAACCUCUCCUCCAUGCUCCAUCUUCACCUAACAAAUGCUGCCCUGCUCAGGGUGCUACUCAAAUGCUACUUCCUCCCCAGAAUUACCCCUGAUCAUCCUGGAUAGAAGAGGCCAGUUCCUCACCUUUCAGUUCUGAAGCAGGAAUUGUAUUACCAUUCCUGAAUCAUUCAUUUCUCUGUAUCUUACAUGGGAUUUAUGUGUAUAUGUGUAUGUGUUUUGUCACCCAAAGUGGAAAAAAACAGACAACAUGGAUCGUGGAGUAGGGCACUCCAGACCUUAGGGCUGUACCUUUGCAUGUCCUUAAGCAGGUUGCCUAACCUCUCCAUGACUCAGUUUCCUCACUUGAAUAAUGAGGGUAUUACUCAUCUCCAGUGUGUAUAAAGAUUCAGCAAGGUAUAAAUGCACGAAGCGCUAAGCAGGGCACUGACAUAGAGGAGACUGUCAGCGAGUAUUGGUUUCUCUCCCUUUCUCCUAACAAGAUUAUAAACUCCCAGACUGGGAUCACAUCUUACAUGUCAGCACAGACUUGAAAGAGGCAGUCAUUUCAAAUAUUUGUGGAAUUCAUAUUUUGAAUAAUAAUGAGAGAAGUAUAAAGAGGUAAAAGACUAAAAUAACAAGUACAACAGAAAGAAAACUGAUAUUUGGACAUAUGACAAUCUUGUUUAUUUCAGGAAAUAUGAGGAAAUGAUUCCUCGUGGCUGCUGGAGAAGAGGGAAAUGAUAGUUCCAUGUGGAUGGGGAUUAUAGUGCAAGCAUUUGACAUGGAGGCUGACAAGAGAGAGAACGGCAGGAGAAUCAUGCCUGGAGAAAGAAUGGGAACGAGGUAUGUGAGCAUCAAGCCCACUCCAAACCAAGGGAGGGCAGGCGCUGCGAAGAGCUGCAUAUGCUCUAUCAUGCAUAUUGCAUGUCUCAUCUCCUUUCUCACGUUUUCUCUGAAGCAGUAAAGAGUAAUUCAAAAACUUUGAAUAUAGGAAUAACAUUUGUGACAACAACAACAUUCUGGACAUCUGCACUGUUAGAGUACUUAUAAUAAAGUCACAUGGCCAUGGGGAAAUUUCACAGAAUUACAAUCUCAGUAAUUUGCCAAGGUGUAUAACUAGUUUGUUUUCAGCUGUUCUUCUCAUGAAUAAUUAUCAAGCAGGAAUAUCCUAAAGCUAGCACAAGCUGUCACUUAACCAAAAUAUUCAAUAUUUAACAUCGAAUUUAGAAUUUCAUAAAUGAAAAUAAUACUGUAAAAGCAAAAUAAUAUACAGUGUGUAUAUUUGCAUGCCUAAAUGCACACAGCUACAUGUUAAAAUUCAGAUUCCAAAGCAUCUUUAUCAAAGGAGAGCAUGUCUUGAAAGUUGAGGAGGAAUAGAAGAGAUCUAAGCACAAGGAAAUCUCAGCCAUUUUCAAGUACAGCUUGGUCUUCAGUCCUUUAAGGACUGCCUCUCAAGGCAAAGUGGGAAAUGAAAACCAGCCUCUGCAUAUUGAUGGUAGCUGAUUACAAUUGUGUUAGAAUCUUUAUUGGAGUUUUUAAAUGUUUGAAAACAAAUACUAUAUAAUGGGUAGCAUAGUAUAUAGGUUAUGUUUUUAAAUUAAUACAAGUGCAUCACUAAACAUUUUAGCAUUAAUUUCUGGAGUGAAUAUCACAGUUCAACCUUAAGUACCUUCUAAAAAAUUUACUCCUAUAGAGAAAGUGACAAGAAUGUCAUUUCUUGUAAUACACAUCACCAAGUUAUUAAACCCGAUUUUGCAUACAUAUUAUAUAUAUACAUUAUAUAUAUAUAUAUAAUUUCUAGUACCUCUCUAAAAAUUAUUUGACUAAAGCAAAUGGAGAUUUCUUUCUCCAUUCCAGAAACCUAUAAAUGUAUCGUGAGUUUAUAAAAUGGGUACUUUAAGCCAUUCGAGCAAUUCUAGUGUAUAUUAAGGAUUUUUGUUCUACUGUUUACUUUCCCAUUAGUAGAAAACUUCUCAGUAAUACAGCUUAAGAAUGUUUUUUCACUUGAGUAAAAGAUAAAUGAUAUUGGGGAAGAAAUUCAAACAUGAGAAGCAAAUCUAUAUAACUGAAUUGUGGGUAAUAGGUAGAAAUUCCUUUGGGGGAUAAAUAAUAUUUUCACUUGGAUAACACCAUUUGGUUCUCUGAAUAGAAUAUUGGUUUCCCCAAAACUUUAGGGAAAUAAUUCUAUUUUGUCUGUCUUGUGAUUUAUUUUAAUCACACCUAUAUGAGAUUGAUAAAAGAAAUGUAUUCAUUGGAACUAGGACUUAUUACAAGUAGAACAAAGGUACAAAAUGGCUUCCAUCUUAACUUGUAAAUUAUCAAAAGUUUUCAGAUAGUUACAUGACUUUUCUUGAGCCUGAAAGUACAUAAUCCUAGUGAAAAGAGUACUUGGAAAUCAAAAAUAAGAUUAGUGACCCAACUAGGUCUAUCAGGGAUUCCUCAAGAUUUAUGCCAAUUCCAAUUUAUGCUUUAGUUUUCCCAUCACUAGAAAUGUGACUGUUAGGCACAAUAAGAAAGAUAUUAAUACUAUUGCCAAAACAAUGUGCUAAAAUAAGUGGAUUUAUUUGAUCACAACCCAAACACAUGAGUGAUAACCUUAAAGCAGGUAAAAGGUGGAGUUGCAAAUGUUGAAAACAGAAAUGGUUUAUUUUUACAUAUCAAUUACUUUAACCACUGUAUCACACAUGUUCCUGUACAUGAUUGGCAGAUCAGAAGAACCAGUCUUCAAACUGGUUCAAACUUCUUCCUCGUUCUCUAUUUCUCCACUGUACACUUAUAAACCUGCCAUUUCCUCUCCAUCCCUGCUGCUGCUAUUCAAAUUCAUUCUCCCAUCUUUACUUGCCUGGCUGAUUUUAAUUGUUCCAACCUCAGUCUUCCUACCAUCCAUCUUUCCCCAUUCCAAUCCACCAUCCUCACAAAUGGGGGCCCCAUAAACCUCUUCAGUUUAAUCACCUGCACCCUAUCAUCACUCCUGAUCUCAUACUACACUCUCUUAUGUCACCAUGCUUUACCUUCUGCUUAGGAUGCCCUGACCUCUCUACCCAGCCUCUGAAUAUCUAUUUAUACCCCGAGAUUCACUUCGCUGUAUUGUCUUUCCAAUUUUCCAAGGAGAAAAGUAGUUUUGACUCUAGUGUACCAUAGACGUUUCAACCUAACUCUGUCAUAGUCCUAAUCAUAAUACUUUGGAGCAAAAGCCAUUUCUAUUCUACUAAGUCUUGGGUAUAUUUUUAAAAAUACACAUAGUAGGUGUUGAAUUUAAUUGAUCCCUAAGAAAACUGGUCUUGCUGGAAGAAAUAAAAGUACUCCCAACAAAUGUACUCAUGUAUAACCAUUUAAUGUAGAUAAGAGAAGACUUCUGGUAUAUAAUGGCAUUUGGCCACCAUCCCCUGGCACUGCCUCUCCCAAUUGUCAAUAACAUACAUACGAAAUGGAAAACUCUAACAUAGAGAAUUAAGACUGACAGGAAACCCAGUGCCAGAAAUCUGGGAAAAAUUUAGAGUGAUUAUAAGGCUGAUGCUUCAAGAGUGAGAAAACAGUCGGUAGCCUAUCCAAGCAUCACCUCGUAAAACAGAAAAGUCUACCUCCUUCAAAAAGCAUAGAGUUUUUUAUUUUUUCUGUUCAAAACGAGUGCUGAUUUUCAGGCAGGCAGAAUAUUAUACUCCCUUCCUGUCCACUCAUAUUUCUUAGCUAUUCAGAUAGAAAAACUCUCAGAAAAUAAUAGUUGAGAAAGAGAGACGUGAGAAGAUAAUUACAGCCCAUUGCAUCCUGGGAGAUAUUGUACCCACAAAUGAAGUGUGGAAGGAAGAACUGGAAGAGUCCUGCUCUCAAUGAAUCCUAAAGGUAAUAGUUUCAAUUAAUUCCAUUAUUCUGGGUGGGUAGUGCGGGUAGUGGAAGAUUCCACCUCAGCAGAGCAGGACCACACCCUGUCAAUGGCCACUGGUCACUGCAAAUCAGGAAGGAAAAUGGACACAUUAAGCUCUCCAACAGUAUGUAGAGAAAGGUGCAAGGAGCAAAAAUGAAAAACAAUGACCCGGGAAAAAAGUUCUCAUUUGAGUAAAUGUAAGAGAAAUAAAACAACAAGUGACCUGAGGUUAAAUGUGGUAAAACAAGCAAAGAAAAUAUCGUUCAGAAGUUUUAGAUAUUUCUCACUCUUAUAGAAACCAUGAAAACAUUUUAGAAAAUUGUUUGCCCUCUUCAAUAUACCAUAAAAAGAAAGAAUAAUCUGAGAUAAAAGAAGAAUAGAUUGGGAUGAAAAGUCUACUAAAACUUGAAUUAAAAGUAAAAAUCUCCUGAAUAGGAGAGUUGAGAUAUACAACCUAGAGAUGAGUCCUGAAAUAAUUAAACAUAAGUGUUAGCCCUAAAUAGCUCUUGCAAAUAUAUUUUCAAAUCUGAAUGCAGAUGUCAAAAAUAAUUCCUAUGAAAGAAUAGAUCUGAAGUAAAAAUAAUUUAAUAAUAUCAAUCAAGGUCAAACACCCCUUUGGAAAUGAACCAGUCAGGAGUGGGGAUGGAUAAGGAACUAUAAAAGCAUUCCUUGUGGAUAAACAGAAGAUAUUAUUUUUUUCUUGACUUUAAUAUUCAGAAAAAUAGAAGUUGGAUAUUUUGGAAAAUAAGUAGAAAAAGUAUCAAGAUGUCUCCUUGCCUAGUCACUGGAGAAGACAAACGUCUAGUCCAUUAAAACAACAGCAACCAAAACGAAGGUAACAAAAAAAUAGAGAAAUGCAAAAAUUGAAGGAAAUGAAAGAGAACAUAAAAAGGAAGAUAAGCAUAACAAAAGAGAUAAGACCAAAUUUAUCAGUUUUGAAAAAACUGGAAAUAGCUGGAAAACUAUCGGAUUGAGUCAAAAGACACACUCUGUGUGCUGAUACUAUGAUAUCCCUAAUUUGGAAGUGAAUGUAAAUGUUAAAAAUAAAAGAGUGAGUAGAGAUUUCUCAAGCAAAUACAAAUUAAAUCAAAGUAGAGGUGACAAUGUUAAUUUUGGACAAUGGAGGUUUUAAGGUAGGAAGCAUAAAAUGGGAUAAAAGAAAUUUGUUUUAUAUUGAUAAAAGUUAUGAUAAUGAAAAUAUAGCAGCCAUGAAUCUUUACACGUCAAAUAAUACAACAUUCAAGAACAUUAAGGUAAAACUGGCAGGCAAAUAUGAAAUGAAAAACAGACAGAAAUAAAGUUGUUUUGAUAGAUUUCAAUACCUCUUGGACAGAUCAUGAAUAAUUUGAAAACAUGGAGAAUUGGACUAUUAUCAUUAAAACAAUGGCGACAUGGAGAAUUGAAUUAGUAUAGUUAAUAACAAGAUAUGUAUUGAGCUGCCUACUCUAAAAGAGAGUUUAUUUGUCUUUGAAGAAUCCAUGUAUAAUAUAUUUAAAAAUUGAUUCGAUACUAACUCAUGAGGGAAAGCUGAAUAAAUUAUCAGAAGCAGAAAUAAUACAGAUCAAAUAAUCCAAUUACAUAUCCUGCAACUGCAAAUAUUUUAAUCAACCUUAAAAGACUCCCCAAUCACUUGAAAACAUUUGUAUCAGAGUAUGUGUGUAUAUACAUACUCACGCACAUGCACACAUACACACAUACACACAAAUACUCGCACACACACAUAUUCUAAAAUAUACAUUAAUGUCACUAUAUUUCAUGAUGUCUAGGAUUUGCUUUAAAAUACUACAGGAAAAAAAAGUUGGGGGCACAGGUGAAAUGAGUAAGGCAAAAUGUUGAUAAUUCUUGAAACUUGGUGAAAGGUACAUAGGGGUUGAUUAAACUAUAUAUUGGAUAUGUGUGAAAUCCCACAUAAUAUAAAUACUUUAAAAAGUACCACAAAUCAUAAUUUAUGGGUUGCUUAAAAAGCUGAAAACUGGAGGCAAAUUCAUAAUCCUAAAUGCUAUCAACAGAAAAAAUUAAGAAAAUCAGAAAGAAGAAAA